UGUGCCCUUGAGGCGUGGCUUCCGGAGCUAACGCGUUAAGUCGACCGCCUGGGGAGUACGGCCGCAAGGUUAAAACUCAAAUGAAUUGACGGGGGCCCGCACAAGCGGUGGAGCAUGUGGUUUAAUUCGAUGCAACGCGAAGAACCUUACCUACUCUUGACAUCCACAGAAUUUGGCAGAGAUGCUAAAGUGCCUUCGGGAACUGUGAGACAGGUGCUGCAUGGCUGUCGUCAGCUCGUGUUGUGAAAUGUUGGGUUAAGUCCCGCAACGAGCGCAACCCUUAUCCUUUGUUGCCAGCACGUAAUGGUGGGAACUCAAGGGAGACUGCCGGUGACAAACCGGAGGAAGGUGGGGAUGACGUCAAGUCAUCAUGGCCCUUACGAGUAGGGCUACACACGUGCUACAAUGGCAGAUACAAAGUGAAGCGAACUCGCGAGAGCCAGCGGACCACAUAAAGUCUGUCGUAGUCCGGAUUGGAGUCUGCAACUCGACUCCAUGAAGUCGGAAUCGCUAGUAAUCGUAGAUCAGAAUGCUACGGUGAAUACGUUCCCGGGCCUUGUACACACCGCCCGUCACACCAUGGGAGUGGGUUGCAAAAGAAGUAGGUAGCUUAACCUUCGGGAGGGCGCUUACCACUUUGUGAUUCAUGACUGGGGUGAA
RNAcentral lists this ribosomal RNA (660 nucleotides) under Yersinia pestis Pestoides A. RNAcentral's name for it is "bacterial SSU rRNA". It matches the Rfam family "Bacterial small subunit ribosomal RNA", at positions 825 to 1484 of the family's 1533-position model. Lineage: Bacteria; Pseudomonadati; Pseudomonadota; Gammaproteobacteria; Enterobacterales; Yersiniaceae. The record is from RNAcentral.